GAUCAUGGCUCAGAACGAACGCUGGCGGCGCGUCUUAAGCAUGCAAGUCGGACGGCAAGAUGCCUUCGGGCAUCCUAGAGUGGCGAACGGGUGAGUAACACGUAAGUGAUCUGCCCCGCAGUUGGGGAUAGCCUGUGGAAACACAGGGUAAUACCGGAUGAGAUGUCAAUGAUUGAACUAUGACAUGAAAGUGGCUACGGCCACGCUGUGGGAUGAGCUUGCGGCUCAUUAGCUAGUUGGGGGUGUAACGGACCACCAAGGCGACGAUGAGUAGCCGGCCUGAGAGGGUGAACGGCCACAUUGGGACUGAGACACGGCCCAGACUCCUACGGGAGGCAGCAGUGAGGGAUAUUGCACAAUGGGGGGAACCCUGAUGCAGCAACGCCGCGUGAAGGAAGACGGUUUUCGGAUUGUAAACUUCUGUUUUGGGUGACGAUAAUGACGGUAGCCCGAUAGAAAGCCACGGCUAACUACGUGCCAGCAGCAGC
Molecule: ribosomal RNA, 488 nt
Filed under: uncultured bacterium
Lineage: Bacteria
Description: bacterial SSU rRNA
Rfam family: Bacterial small subunit ribosomal RNA
Source: RNAcentral